AGACGGUCUCACUUAUUACUCUAAAAAUUCUAAAGUGCGCUAGUGUUAGCUAUUCCAAUGAAACAUUUUGUCCCACAACACCUCACAUAAAGGGAUGAGUAAUAUUAAGACCAAGUCAUAAUAUGAAGAUAGGGAAAAGGGAUUUGGUUCUAUGAGGGAAAACAACGCUAACAAAACCUAGACACAAUGAAUAAAAAGAAUAUAUAUACUUAAAUUUAGCGUGAUAUAAAUUAUAUUACAGAACAUAACAGGGAUCAGAAGCAUCUUCCUUCUCCUAGAUCAAUUUAUGAAUCUUUGACAUAAGUUGUGGUAUAGCUGCAUUUACCUUAUUUAUCCUGUUCAGUAUACUAAUAAGUUCCAUUUAAAAUGCAUUUAGCCAUCCAAUAUCUAUUUGUGCCCAAGUAGAAGCUAAGUGAACCCAUGGAUCUGUAAUCUGAAAUUUUAGAUUCUCAAUUAUCUGGAUUGACAAAAUGUACAGUUUACUGACUAUGAGCUUCACCAGAAUUAAUCUGCAUGCGGUAACCAUACAAAAGAACCUAAAUUUUUUGCUUUGCU
This 555-nucleotide unclassified non-coding RNA is filed under the name Hevea brasiliensis (rubber tree). Lineage: Eukaryota; Viridiplantae; Streptophyta; Magnoliopsida; Malpighiales; Euphorbiaceae. The record is from RNAcentral.